AUUGAACGCUGGCGGCAUGCUUUACACAUGCAAGUCGAACGGUAACAGGGUGCUUGCACCGCUGACGAGUGGCGAACGGGUGAGUAAUGCGUCGGAACGUGCCGAGUAGUGGGGGAUAACGCAGCGAAAGUUGUGCUAAUACCGCAUACGUACUGAGGUAGAAAGUGGGGGACCUUCGGGCCUCACGCUACUCGAGCGGCCGACGUCUGAUUAGCUAGUAGGUGAGGUAAAGGCUCACCUAGGCGACGAUCAGUAGCGGGUCUGAGAGGAUGAUCCGCCACACUGGAACUGAGACACGGUCCAGACUCCUACGGGAGGCAGCAGUGGGGAAUAUUGCACAAUGGGCGCAAGCCUGAUGCAGCCAUGCCGCGUGUAUGAAGAAGGCCUUCGGGUUGUAAAGUACUUUCAGCGGGGAGGAAGGCGGUGCGGUUAAUAACCGUACCGAUUGACGUUACCCGCAGAAGAAGCACCGGCUAACUCCGUGCCAGCCGCCGCUGUAA
This 500-nucleotide ribosomal RNA is filed under the name uncultured bacterium. RNAcentral's name for it is "partial 16S ribosomal RNA". It matches the Rfam family "Bacterial small subunit ribosomal RNA", at positions 30 to 523 of the family's 1533-position model. The record is from RNAcentral.